AUGCAGCUGACGAGUCCCAAAUAGGACGAAACACUCGCCCUGGAU
Molecule: non-coding RNA, 45 nt
Filed under: Schistosoma mansoni
Lineage: Eukaryota; Metazoa; Platyhelminthes; Trematoda; Strigeidida; Schistosomatidae
Source: RNAcentral